GGUCACAAUUUGUGUUAAAUGGAUACUUACUAUAUGUGAGCAGUGUUAUUUCUUAUGUGCUAUACAAAUAGUUGAAGGUUAAUUAGCAGUAGAAAUAAUGCCAGUCUCCUUCAGACAAAA
RNAcentral lists this small nucleolar RNA (120 nucleotides) under Otolemur garnettii (small-eared galago). Lineage: Eukaryota; Metazoa; Chordata; Mammalia; Primates; Galagidae. The record is from RNAcentral.